This is a small nucleolar RNA of Hyaena hyaena (striped hyena), 89 nucleotides long. RefSeq annotates it as small nucleolar RNA SNORA31. The transcript has a single exon. Lineage: Eukaryota; Metazoa; Chordata; Mammalia; Carnivora; Hyaenidae. The record is from RefSeq and is a predicted model, not a curated record.
AUUUGCCCUAGCAUGGGAAAGAAAAAAAAAAGUCUCUUGACUUUCUGUCUGUCUUUGUGGUGGCCCAGAUUGAGUUGGGGAAUACAUAU